GUGAUUAAAUUCGAGCGUGUCUUCAUUGACCGCUCACCCUUCUCACCAUCCACAUACACCUGUGCACUGUUUAGCCUGAGCCGGUUUUCCGGUCCAGGUUAUCAUUUCAUACAAACUCUAGUCUUAUGAAUGUAAACGUUUUAAUAACAUAAU
RNAcentral lists this unclassified non-coding RNA (153 nucleotides) under soil metagenome. RNAcentral describes it as "partial internal transcribed spacer 1". The record is from RNAcentral.